RNAcentral lists this ribosomal RNA (407 nucleotides) under Nosema granulosis. RNAcentral's name for it is "partial small subunit ribosomal RNA". It matches the Rfam family "Microsporidia small subunit ribosomal RNA", at positions 1 to 405 of the family's 1311-position model. Lineage: Eukaryota; Fungi; Microsporidia; Nosematidae. The record is from RNAcentral.
CACCAGGUUGAUACUGCCUGACGUAGACGCUAUACUCUAGAUUAACCCAUGCAUGUUAUUGAAUAUAAAGAAAAGACGAACAGCUCAGUAACUCUUAUUUUAUUUGAUGUAUUAGGACUAUAACUAUGUUAAAUUAUAGAUAACAAUAAUACAAUAAGAAUAAGAUCUAUCAGUUAGUUGUUAAGGUAAUGGCUUAACAAGACUAUGACGGAUAACGGUAUUACUUUGUAAUAUUCCGGAGAAGGAGCCUGAGAGAUUGCUACUAAGUCUAAGGAUUGCAGCAGGGGCGAAACUUGACCUAUGAUAUGAUAUUGAGGCAGUUAUGAGUAGUAUUUUUAAUUAUUGUAGUAUUGUAAGUAUAUACUACAAGAUAAAUCGGAGGGCAAAUCGAGUGCCAGCAGCCGCGG